GGGCCAAGGCGAAGCCCAGCAGCUGCAAGCCCGAGUUGGCCAUCGCUCGAGAGGAGCCCAGAGACAGAGCCAAGCGCCGAAAGAAAGAGCCACAGGUCCCGGAGCCAGAGGGAGACGCUUACCUGGGCGCCAGUGGGGAAAAAGAAGAGCUUCCAGGAAUAGAUGAGCGGCUGCUAAAAUGGUCUGAAAUGAUGGAACCGGACAUCUUGACCUCUCCUCUGAAACAGAAGGAAAUGAAUACAAUUGAGGAAGAAUGGCUCUCUGUACAUGAGUUUUGUAAGAAUAGAUGGAAAUAAAGUUUAGGUAGAGUAAUAAGACGAUGGGGAAAUACGACAAAUGUAGAGGCUGUGAAUACUGUUUAGAUAUAGGAUCGUAUAUCAUAAAAUAACAUCAGAACAAUAAUGUUUGAAUACAUAACAGUAGGAAGAAAGGAUGACCACGCAUGAGACUUAGAGGAAGCUUAUCUGAAGUAGUAUUUUAUGUUAGCAUGCAAAUUCAAUUGUAUAUUACUUGAAUGAAAUGGAUACAUACAAUUGUGUUUUGUUGUGUUUGUAAACCACCUCGGACCGGUGGGAGAGGGGGAUAAAAAUAACUUAUUAUUAUUAUUAUUA
Sceloporus undulatus (fence lizard) is the source of this 611-nucleotide long non-coding RNA. RefSeq lists it as uncharacterized. Lineage: Eukaryota; Metazoa; Chordata; Lepidosauria; Squamata; Phrynosomatidae. The transcript has 2 exons. The record is from RefSeq and is a predicted model, not a curated record.